GUGUUGUGUGUGAAGGGCACAUGGUGGAUGCCUUGGCAUACUGGGCCGAUGAAGGACGUGAGAGGCUGCGUUAUGCCUCGGGGAGCUGCCAACUGAGCGUUGAUCCGAGGAUGUCCGAAUGGGGAAACCCGGCCACCGUGAUGGGUGGUCACCUCACAGUGAAUACAUAGCUGUGGUGGAGGUUGACGCGGGGAAGUGAAACAUCUCAGUACCCGUAGGAGAAGAAAAUAAAUUUAAUGAUUCCGUCAGUAGUGGCGAGCGAACGCGGAUGAUGGCUAAACCGUGUGUGUGUGAUACCCGGCAGGGGUUGCGCAUGCGGUGUUGUGGGAUGCGAUGGGGGUGGUCUGCCGGCCGCCCGCACUUAGCGCGCACUGUCAGCGGAAGUGGUCUGGGAAGGCCCACCGGAGUAGGUGAGAGUCCUGUACGUGAAGAUGGUGUGUGUGGUGUUGUCGUUUUCCCGAGUAGCAGCGGGCACGUGAAAUCUGCUGUGAAUCUGCCGGGACCACCCGGUAAGCCUGAAUACCCAG
Molecule: ribosomal RNA, 527 nt
Filed under: Corynebacterium hylobatis
Lineage: Bacteria; Bacillati; Actinomycetota; Actinomycetes; Mycobacteriales; Corynebacteriaceae
Description: Corynebacterium sp. YIM 101343 partial 23S ribosomal RNA
Rfam family: Bacterial large subunit ribosomal RNA
Source: RNAcentral